RNAcentral lists this transfer RNA (85 nucleotides) under Felis catus (domestic cat). It matches the Rfam family "tRNA". Rfam says of the family: Transfer RNA (tRNA) molecules are approximately 80 nucleotides in length. The record is from Rfam by way of RNAcentral. Lineage: Eukaryota; Metazoa; Chordata; Mammalia; Carnivora; Felidae.
GCCUGGGUGGCUCAGUUGGUUAAGCGUCUGACUUCAGCUCAGGUCAUGAUCUCGCGGUCUGUAGGUUCGAGUCCCGCGUCGGGCU